Molecule: RNA transcript, 3233 nt
Organism: Cryptotermes secundus
Lineage: Eukaryota; Metazoa; Arthropoda; Insecta; Blattodea; Kalotermitidae
Gene: Orc3
Gene name: origin recognition complex subunit 3
Exons: 14
Source: RefSeq, a predicted model, not a curated record
CUGUACCGUAUACCACAGCCUGGUGUUUUGCGCGCGGUUGUCAAGAGCGUUCAAGAACAGCCAUAGUUUUGCUUUAGUAGUUUGCUUGUCAGUCCUAAGUGUUAAUAAACUAGCUAUCCUCUUGCAGUAGUAAUGUAAUAAGUAUUACUUUGUAUAUUCUGUACUUUAUAGAAAGUUAGUAACGUCUUGGAGGGAACGUAAACAGUAUGGAUCAUACAGUGUCUGUUUCCAAGGGCUGCUUUGUUCAUAAACGACAGAAACGCAACAAAAAUACACCAAAGAAACAGUCCUCUCUGACUACAAAUAGGCAACCAUGGUAUAAUGCAUACAAGAGCUUAUGGUCAUCUCUUGAGGUGAAGCUGGAGUCAUUACAGGAGGAAGUAUUUUCACAAAUUUUAGAGAACUUAGUUCUUUAUAUUCAAAACUGCCACAUAAACAAAUCACGGAACAAAAUUAGAAAUGAGAUACCAUCUGCAACAUUACUGACAGGUGUGAACUUACCAGAUCAUGAAGCACUGUUUGCAACAUUAUCAAGUCAGUUACAUGAUAAGGUGACACCGUACGUAGCCACUCUGCAGGCCCGUCAUUGUGCUACAGUUCGCUCUGCCAUCGAGCACUUGGUUCUCCAAUUCAUGAAUUACAACAAAGUUCAGAGAGAUGAUGAUUUAGAAGAGACAGUGAAGGACAAUAUAAAGAAGAAUCAGUAUAACUUUCUAACCUUAUCAGCUUGGUACAAGGAACAGUUGAGAUCUAAAAGUCCAAAGAAGAAGUCUAAAAAUAAGCCAGCCUUGGAAAUGGAUAAAGAUGCUGCCCUUGUUGUUAUAAUUCCUAAUGUGGAAGGUUUCUCACCACACAUCUUACAAAACUUCAUCCUUAUAGCAAGUGGUUACAUCAACUCACUUCCUUUGGUGUUUGUAUUUGGUGUUGCCACCGCCGUCUGUGCUCUGCAUCGCAGCCUGCCAUACCAUGUAUCUUCCAAACUUUGCAAUGAGGUGUUUCAUUCCCAGCCAUCAACCGCUUACCUUAAUCAAGUUCUAGAGAAGGUUGUUCUAACUAGCACAUGCCCGUUCCAGUUGGAUGAUAAGACUUUCAAGUUACUGACUGAUAUUUUCUUAUUCUAUGACUUAUCUGUGUAUGGAUUCAUUCAGCACUACAAGUAUUGUAUGAUGGAACAUUUCUUCAACUGUGAUCAUAAUGUUCUGUGCUGCUCAAUUUCUGAACUGUCACAGAACAUUAAAUCUCUGAGUAAGGAACAGCUGGAGGAGUUGCGUCAGUUGCCCUCUUUCCGUCGGUAUGUGGACACAUUGCCGAAGAAAGAGAAAGCUCCUCUUCUUCUUGAUGACCAUCAUUUUAAGGAAGUGCUUGAGGAGCUAAUGACAGAACUACAUGGAUACCUGCUGAACUUACACACAUAUCUGAGGUGCCUCCACACUCUGACAGCAUCACUCCCAAAGUCACCGUUAGGAAAGCAACUGAGGGAAGUAUACAACAUGGCCAUCUGUUGUGACAUAUCUGAAUCACCUCAGUUCAGAGAGUGCUUCCAGCUGCUUGGUUUCCAGUCGCGAGAAGAAUUACUGGAUAAGCUUGGGAAAGUCCUCGGCUUUCUUGAAAGUGCCUCAAGCAACAUGUCAGUGAAAGUCUCUCACCUGAAGGAUGUACAAGAGGAGCUGUCAAAGUAUUACACUUCGAUUGCAAAUAUGGGGAUAGAAGCUACUGAACAACCAUUGAAAAGUCCAAGUAAAAUUGAUAUUGGGGAAAAUAUUAACAGAUAUCAACUGAAAGAGAAACUACUGGAGUUGUCACGUAAGCAGAAACCACUGUCAGCCUAUGAAGAGACAAGGAAGAACCUUUUGGACUACUUGGCAGGAUCAGUUUUCCCACAGUUCCUUGUUCCACCAACAAAUGUACCAUUCAAUGAAGUUUUCUUCUUCAACAAUGUGGCAAGAGUCAAGAGACACAUUGUUGGUACACCAAGAGCUGCAAUACACAUGGCUCUGAACAAUCCGCACUACUAUUUGGAGUGCAAGUGCUGCAAGCUAGACAAGACAUCAUCCAUCAUUCCUUCAAUGCCUGAUAUCUGCAUCGUAUACAAGCUGCAUCUGGAGUGUGGGCGCCUCAUCAACAUGUAUGACUGGUUGCAAGCUUUUCUUGCCAUCGUGAACCCCAGUGAACUGGGUGAGGAGCAGAGAGAUGUCGCUCCAGAGAUACAAGCCCGAUUCACACGUGCUGUAGCAGAGUUACAGUUUCUUGGUUUUAUUAAACCCUCCAAAAGGAAGACUGACCAUGUAACAAGACUCACCUGGGGAGCUUCAUGAUCCCUGCUGCUAGGAUGAGAUGCCUUAUCCCCUUCUGUGUUAAUCACAUGGUGCAUGUUAAUCAUUGUGCCUUGUACAUGCAAAUGAGGCAAGUGCAGUCACUGCUGUAUUAACUGAAGAAUGCUGGUGGAAGAAGUCUUGAAAAGCUUUUAUGCUUUCACCUACAUCUCUAACAGGAUUUAGACCCUAUGUAUUUUGGGAAGUAUGGGGUUGUGGAAAACUCAGAGGGAGAUGCUAAACUCUCUGAGAACAAGCAGUUGUUAAAUGUGGACUGAAGCUCUGAUAGAUGCGCCACUGACAACCUUUUAAAAAAGAGAAUUUGAGACAGACUGCUGGAGGCUUAACUGCAUAUAAAUGAAGCCCCAAAUGACAAAUCUGUGUGUAUUGAGGGUUGACUUCAGUAUAUACAAAAACUUAAUCAAAAGAGCAUUUUCAUUUGGCCUUUUGUUGAACUUUCUCUGUAUAAUGUAUAUUUUAAGGCAUCUGGGAAUUCAUGUUAUUAUGCUUUUGUUUUGAGUGAGGACAUUUUUCAUUGACAGACACAGCAGUAACAUACAAAAAGGUUUGCGUCUUUGUUUCUUUGUUUGUUUGUUUGUUUGUUUGUUUUUUUUUUGCUAUAAAUAAUAUUAGAAAUUUCUAUUUGAUUCCAAGUAUGGACUAAACACACAAGGUAGUGUUCUCAGUUCAUCAGAAUGUUCUCCUCAUUCAAACAUGACAUUACAAAGAAACAGUCAGAAAAGUAUAUAAAUCAUUCUGAGAAAUCUUACUGAAUUUCGUUUUUAAAUUAUAAAAAAAUACUUAUUUCAACCAACCCGUAGAAACAACUGAAGGAAAUUAACAAAUGAUACUAGUAUGCACUGGUGUAGUUGGUUGAUGCACUAUGCUACAAGCUGGAAGGUCACAGUUUCAAUUCUUGAU